ACUUAAAUAAUAUAAAUAUAAUUAUAUUUAAUUUCCAAUUAAAAAAUCUAAAAUAUAGUUUAAGUA
RNAcentral lists this transfer RNA (66 nucleotides) under Curculionoidea sp. 1 KM-2015. Its description in RNAcentral is "tRNA-Gly". The record is from RNAcentral. Lineage: Eukaryota; Metazoa; Arthropoda; Insecta; Coleoptera.